Molecule: unclassified non-coding RNA, 253 nt
Filed under: uncultured Chitinophagales bacterium
Lineage: Bacteria; Pseudomonadati; Bacteroidota; Chitinophagia; Chitinophagales
Description: contains 16S-23S intergenic spacer region
Rfam family: Bacterial small subunit ribosomal RNA
Source: RNAcentral
UACGGAGGGUGCAAGCGUUAUCCGGAAUCACUGGGUUUAAAGGGUGCGUAGGUGGCACCGUAAGUCAGAAGUGAAAGUUUGCGGCUCAACCGUAAAAUUGCUUUUGAUACUGCGAUGCUUGAAUCAGGUUGAGGUUGGCGGAAUGUGGCAUGUAGCGGUGAAAUGCUUAGAUAUGCCAUAGAACACCGAUUGCGAAGGCAGCUGACUGGACCUGUAUUGACGCUGAGGCACGAAAGCGUGGGGAGCGAACAGG